GCACGGAUGGCCGAGUGGUCUAAGGCGCCAGACUCAAGCGUAAUGCUUCGUGCGAGUUCAGCACACUCCUGGGUGUUCUGGUAUCGGUAUCGAUGCGUGGGUUCGAAUCCCACUCCGUGCA
RNAcentral lists this transfer RNA (121 nucleotides) under Enterobius vermicularis (human pinworm). It matches the Rfam family "tRNA". Rfam says of the family: Transfer RNA (tRNA) molecules are approximately 80 nucleotides in length. Their secondary structure includes four short double-helical elements and three loops (D, anti-codon, and T loops). Further hydrogen bonds mediate the characteristic L-shaped molecular structure. tRNAs have two regions of fundamental functional importance: the anti-codon, which is responsible for specific mRNA codon recognition, and the 3' end, to which the tRNAs corresponding amino acid is attached (by aminoacyl-tRNA synthetases). tRNAs cope with the degeneracy of the genetic code in two manners: having more than one tRNA (with a specific anti-codon) for a particular amino acid; and 'wobble' base-pairing, i.e. permitting non-standard base-pairing at the 3rd anti-codon position. Lineage: Eukaryota; Metazoa; Nematoda; Chromadorea; Rhabditida; Oxyuridae. The record is from Rfam by way of RNAcentral.